UCCCUGGUGGUUCAGUGCUUAAGACUCUGCACUUUCAAUGCAUGGCACAUGGGUUUGAUCCCUGAUCAGGGAA
This 73-nucleotide transfer RNA is filed under the name Bos taurus (domestic cattle). It matches the Rfam family "tRNA". From Rfam's summary of the family: Transfer RNA (tRNA) molecules are approximately 80 nucleotides in length. The record is from Rfam by way of RNAcentral. RNAcentral also lists the same sequence under 5 other names. Lineage: Eukaryota; Metazoa; Chordata; Mammalia; Artiodactyla; Bovidae.